Molecule: ribosomal RNA, 499 nt
Filed under: uncultured bacterium
Lineage: Bacteria
Description: partial 16S ribosomal RNA
Rfam family: Bacterial small subunit ribosomal RNA
Source: RNAcentral
GACGAACGCUGGCGGCGUGCCUAAUACAUGCAAGUCGAGCGAAGUUUUUCUGGUGCUUGCACUGGAAAAACUUAGCGGCGAACGGGUGAGUAACACGUAAAGAACCUGCCUCAUAGACUGGGACAACUAUUGGAAACGAUAGCUAAUACCGGAUAACAGUAUUUCUCGCAUGAGAGAUAUUUAAAAGUUGGUUAUGCUAACACUAUGAGAUGGCUUUGCGGUGCAUUAGCUAGUUGGUGGGGUAAAGGCCCACCAAGGCGACGAUGCAUAGCCGACCUGAGAGGGUGAUCGGCCACACUGGGACUGAGACACGGCCCAGACUCCUACGGGAGGCAGCAGUAGGGAAUCUUCCGCAAAGGGCGAAAGCCUGACGGAGCAACGCCGCGUGAGUGAAGAAGGAUUUCGGUUCGUAAAGCUCUGUUGUUAGGGAAGAAUGGAUAUGUAGUAACUAUACAUGUAAGAGACGGUACCUAACCAGAAAGCCACGGCUAACUACGUG